CCUACGGGUGGCAGCAGUAGGGAAUAUUGCUCAAUGGGGGAAACCCUGAAGCAGCAACGCCGCGUGGAGGAUGAAGGUUUUCGGAUUGUAAACUCCUUUUGUUAGAGAAGAAAAUGACGGUAUCUAACGAAUAAGCACCGGCUAACUCCGUGCCAGCAGCCGCGGUAAUACGGAGGGUGCAAGCGUUACUCGGAAUCACUGGGCGUAAAGAGCGCGUAGGCGGGUUAGCAAGUCAGAUGUGAAAGUCUAUGGCUUAACCGUAAAACUGCAUUUGAAACUGUUAUUCUAGAGUACGGGAGAGGUAGGUGGAAUUCGUGGUGUAGAGGUGAAAUGCGUAGAGAUCACGAAGAAUUCUCAUUGCGAAGGCGGCCUGCUAGAACGUAACUGACGCUGAUGCGCGAAAGCGUGGGGAGCAAACAGGAUUAGAUACCCUUGUAGUC
Molecule: ribosomal RNA, 440 nt
Filed under: uncultured bacterium
Lineage: Bacteria
Description: partial 16S ribosomal RNA
Rfam family: Bacterial small subunit ribosomal RNA
Source: RNAcentral